Molecule: ribosomal RNA, 434 nt
Filed under: uncultured Lachnospiraceae bacterium
Lineage: Bacteria; Bacillati; Bacillota; Clostridia; Lachnospirales; Lachnospiraceae
Description: partial 16S ribosomal RNA
Rfam family: Bacterial small subunit ribosomal RNA
Source: RNAcentral
ACGGAAGGCAGCAGUGGGGGAUAUUGCACAAUGGGGGAAACCCUGAUGCAGCGACGCCGCGUGAGUGAAGAAGUAUUUCGGUAUGUAAAGCUCUUUAAGUUGGGAAGAUAAUGACGGUACCAACAGAAUAAGCCCCGGCUAACUACGUGCCAGCAGCCGCGGUAAUACGUAGGGGGCAAGCGUUAUCCGGAUUUACUGGGUGUAAAGGGAGCGUAGACGGCAUAGCAAGUCUGAAGUGAAAUCAUAGGGCUCAACCCUGUAAUUGCUUUGGAAACUGUUAAGCUCGAGUACCGGAGGGGCAGGCGGAAUUCCUGGUGUAGCGGUGAAAUGCGUAGAUAUCAGGAAGAACACCGGUGGCGAAGGCGGCCUGCUGGACAGUAACUGACGUUGAGGCUCGAAAGCGUGGGGAGCAAACAGGAUUAGAUACCCUGGUA